AGUGAACGCUGGCGGUAGGCCUAACACAUGCAAGUCGAACGGCGGCACAGUAAGAGCUUGCUCUUACGGGUGGCGGGUGGCGGACGGGUGAGGAAUACAUCGGAAUCUACUUUUUCGUGGGGGAUAACGUAGGGAAACUUACGCUAAUACCGCAUACGACCUCCGGUUGAAAGCAGGGGAUCUUCGGACCUUGCGCGAUUGAAUGCGCCGAUGUCGGAUUAGCUAGUUGGCGGGGUAAAGGCCCACCAAGGCGACGAUCCGUAGCUGGUCUGAGAGGAUGAUCAGCCACACUGGAACUGAGACACGGUCCAGACUCCUACGGGAGGGAGCAGUGGGGAAUAUUGGACAAAGGGCGCAAGCCUGAUCCAGCCAUACCGCGUGGGUGAAGAAGGCCUUCGGGUUGGAAAGCCCUUUUGUUGGGAAAGAAAAGCAGCAGGUUAAUACCGCGCUGUUCUGACGGUACCCUAAGAAUAAGCACCGGCUAACUUCGUG
This 492-nucleotide ribosomal RNA is filed under the name uncultured bacterium. RNAcentral's name for it is "partial 16S ribosomal RNA". It matches the Rfam family "Bacterial small subunit ribosomal RNA", at positions 29 to 507 of the family's 1533-position model. The record is from RNAcentral.